CCUACGGGAGGCAGCAGUGAGGAAUAUUGGUCAAUGGGCGAGAGCCUGAACCAGCCAAGUCGCGUGAGGGAGUACUGCCCUAUGGGUGGUAAACCUCUUUGGUCGGGGAGCAAAAGCCGGACGUGUCCGGCGGGGAGAGUACCCGAAGAAAAAGCAUCGGCUAACUCCGUGCCAGCAGCCGCGGUAAUACGGAGGAUGCGAGCGUUAUCCGGAUUUAUUGGGUUGAAGGGGUGCGCAGGCGGAUUUUUAAGUCAGCGGUCAAAUCGUGGGGCUCAACCCCAUCCAGCCGUUGAAACUGGGGAUCUAGAGUGUGCGAGAGGUAUGCGGAAUGCGUGGUGUAGCGGUGAAAUGCAUAGAUAUCACGCAGAACCCCGAUUGCGAAGGCAGCAUACCGGUGCACAACUGACGCUCAGGCACGAAAGCGUGGGUAUCGAACAGGAUUAGAUACCCGAGUAGUC
Molecule: ribosomal RNA, 458 nt
Filed under: uncultured bacterium
Lineage: Bacteria
Description: partial 16S ribosomal RNA
Rfam family: Bacterial small subunit ribosomal RNA
Source: RNAcentral